RNAcentral lists this long non-coding RNA (224 nucleotides) under Gossypium raimondii (Peruvian cotton). RNAcentral describes it as "long non-coding RNA (GRAI_LNC008418)". The record is from RNAcentral. Lineage: Eukaryota; Viridiplantae; Streptophyta; Magnoliopsida; Malvales; Malvaceae.
UGAGAGAAAAGAGAAAGAAACAAAUGUAAGAGAAGGAGAACGUGCCAAAAUUGGAAAAAAACGUGAAAUUGUUGAGUUUUGAUAUAAAAAUAAAACAAAACAAAAUAAAUAAAAUAAAUUUAAAACUUAAAACCAAUUUAAGAUAUAAUAAAAAUAAUUCCCCAAAACACACAUGAGUAAUCGAACCCAGAACCUAGAGGUAAACUAACACACAUCCAUCCACC